UUGGCAAAGAGAUCUAUUAAAUAAGACCCAUUAGGUAAAAAGCAGGUCUCUUUAGUGGAAGAGACCCCGUAUAACAAAAAGCGGAUCUCUUAUAACGCGUGGCCCUGUUAAAUGAAAAAGAAAAGAGCCAAUUUCACAAAACACGGGUCUGUUAUCUCCCGUGGGCCCCAAUUGAUGAAAAUGAAGAAGCCUGAUAUCCAAAAACACGGGUCUCUUCUCCACACCCCUCCUUUUUUUAUCUCUCUUCUUGUCUUCCUCUACAGCGAGCAAACAAAAGUUAAACUUUAAUUUCUCUCUCCUCUACAACCUUCGACAAUGUUCACUCUUCACAAAAAAAAGGAGUCUUAGUGAAAACCUAAAGAAGGCGACGGCGAAGAAGAUCUUUGGAGCAGAUCUGCUAUCAAAAGAAGCAAAUGAUCGAGAGCGGAUUUCACUGGUUUUUUCCCCUAUAUUUUGUAGUGGUGUGGCUGAACAGGGAAACGAUGAAGCUACAAAGCUGCAGCAGUUCCUGAAUGAGAUCUUGUAAAUUACCAAGCAGAAGUUUUGGUUAAAAUAGCUAGGAAGUUUUCAAAUGUUGCUCCAACUAAACCUUUUAGACUUGGAUUGGAUGAGAUUUUGAACACUCUUGACAGGGCCUACAUUAUCACUGAGUAGGAAUAUGAUGGUGUUGCCGAGCUAGACACCCUAGAAGGAGAGUAAGAAGAAUCGUACAAAGAUAGCAUAAUACUUCGAUUAUCCAACUCCAACCUCACUUCACAGACACCAGAUAUGCAGGCUGUAGCCUGUAGGUUUAUCAAAGUGUCCAUGAAGGAGUCAACUAUGGAUCAAGUUUCAGUUAUUAAUCCAUCUCAAUAUACACAAGUCAAAAGUCACAGGCAGUUACCUAGUGGUUAAUUUUCUGAAGAAACUUAUUCAUCGGGAAAUGUGGAUGAGGUUAGAGAUAUGUGGGUCGAGUAUUUGCUCAAGCAAGAAGCGGAUGAAGAAAACCAAGUUGAUGGUAUGAAAAUAACUCCAUGAGUUUCGGUUCCAAUUGUUGGUAAAUUGGCGUGAAUGAUUAUAUUUUUGAAUUGAUUUUUGUUUUACGUUUUUUGGAAAUUGCGAUGUAAAGCUUUGACGUUUAUGCAAAUUACAAUUUAUGUAAAGCUUGCGUUUUGAGCAUUACUUGUGGGAAAUAUAUUUUUUUUGUUAAUAUAUGGAUUAUGGAAUUGUUCUCUAAUUAUUACAAAUUAUGUAUUAUAG
This is a long non-coding RNA of Spinacia oleracea (spinach), 1239 nucleotides long. RefSeq lists it as uncharacterized. The record is from RefSeq and is a predicted model, not a curated record. The transcript has 7 exons. NCBI's taxonomy places the organism in Eukaryota, Viridiplantae, Streptophyta, Magnoliopsida, Caryophyllales, Amaranthaceae.